GGGGCCUCCAUAGAGGAGGGAUUUGUGGAGAAGGGAAUCUUCAUGAAGUGCUAUAGUAAACACUUCAUAUAUUAACUCUGUGAAGAAAGCAUCUCCUGGCAGGCAAGCUUACAAAAUGUGUGCAGUUAGUGGCGGGGUCGUCCAGGGCCUGUCUGCGGCUCCAUCAGGGUGCCCCAUUUCCUGGCUCUUACGGGGGCCAUAAAAGCCAGCUCCUGACUGAUCGUUGACAUACGAGGUGACAGGCAAGGAAAUGGUUUCCUUUGGCCACAUGUGUGUAUCCUAAUUUACAGCUCCUCUGGAAUUAGCAAGGGCAGAUGCUAUUGAACAAUUAUGGACUUCCAAUGGCUUCUUCAUAAAGGAGAACACUUGGUUUUGAAAAGAAAAUCAUGGUGAAUUCAAUACAAAAAAGUAACAUCUUUUUAUCAUUGUCGUUAUUAUUGAAUAUAUGUAAGCACUCUUUAAAUUAACUGGAUUUUCUUUUGUUUUUGUUUGUUUGUUUGUUUUUUAGACAGAGUCUUGCUGUCACCCAGGCUGAAGGGCUGGAGUGCAAUAGCGUGAUCUCGGCUCACUGCAACCUCUGCCUCUGGGGUUCCAGCAAUUCUUCCUGCCUCAGCCUCCCAAGUAGCUGGGAUUACAGGCACCCACCACCACACCCAGCUAAUUUUUCUGUAUUUUUAGUAGAGACGGGGUUCCACCACGUUGGCCAGUCUGGUCUCAAACUCCUGACCUCAGGUGAUCCACCCACCUUGGCCUCCUAAACUGCAGGGAUAAAGACAUGAGCCAUCGCACCCAGCCAAGAGAGAUUUAUCUCUUGCCAAGCUCAUUGUCUUGUUGGAUCCUGACAUCGCUCAUAGAUGGGAAAAUGGAGGCCCAGUGAGGGUUAAGUGAUGUCUCUUCAAGGCCACAAAAAGUUAUUCCUAAAUCCUAGUUUCCUAACUCCUAGUCAAUAGCUCUUUACAUGACAUGAUGUUGAUGAAGCGUCCAGCCCAGUGCCUGGCACUAGCAGCAGAAGCCCAGUGAUUAUUCAUUUACCCUGCUUCCAAACUUCCUCUUUUCUACUUUUCUACUAAAGAGAUACUCAUAGAUUGAAGGAUAAGGUGUAACUCCCCCCAUCGGUCUACCUGCUUUUCCCACUUUGUGGAGAUACGUGCUUUUCUUUGAGUCCCAAGUGGAAUGCUCUAAACAUGUGUUCUUAAUAAAAUACAGAGACCAACUAAAAUGUAGAAGGUUGUCAAGUCUCAGAUCCAUAAGGUCGGCAAAAGAAUCCCCUCUUAGCCUUCUAACUCAGGCUUGUCACUGAGUCUGUGACCCCAGACCUGUCCCCAUGUCUUUCUUUUCCACAUGGCUUUACGGUUACCACGCGUUUUGGGAGUGCUCACAUUUGAACAGAGGGAUAGGGAGAAAUAUCAAACAGGAUGGAGCUAUGAGCUUCCACAAGAAGAGUAGAAACAGAGGAUGGGAGUGUCCGUGCAGACCACAGGUUGUACAUUCUGGUGAAGGAGAUGAGGCAAGAAAGAAGUCCAUAAAUUCUCAGACAAUAAGGUCUGGGAAAUAAAUUCUUUGGAUGACAAUAGGGAGGUGGUGAAAUUUAUGAGUAUGAUUACAUAGUGCUGGAUUUGUACUGUUUAGACUGGAAAGUCAACAACAAUACAGUGCUUGGGGUAUUCUCCAUAUGAUCAUUUUCCUUCCAUUAGGCAUAGAAUUUUAAAAUUAUUUCCAAAAUACAUUCUGACUUUGUAUUAUGUACAUAUUUGUUUCAGUGCGGGGGAGGGGGAGCAGGGGAGGAAGGAUGAUGCCCAGUGCCCACCAAUACUGAUCCUAAAGAGAUUAUUCUCUAAGUAAAUGCCUUCCGAAGGCCUACCUGAUGAAUGAAAAGAUGCACCUUAGGAUGGGUUGCCGGAUGUUACAACGGACUAUGGAAGAAAUAUUAAUAGUCUUUUUUUUUUUAAUGGCAGAGGAAGAACUAUGAAUGGCUUAAGUCAAACAGGAAGGGGAAAUAAAUGCAAAUUGCUAGUAUCCCAAGUAUAGGAAAAGAAGCUAAGGUACUUCCAAAGGAUUUCAACAUCAAGGGUUGAAACAAAAGCUUUGCCUUCUGCUAACCAGAACACUAAUUAACCAGAUCGGGCUUCUCCCUGACAUUCAUCUAUUUGCAGACUCUGAAUCCUUAGUCUCCUUUUAUCCAGCAAGUUCCCCAACUAUGAUUACCUCCAAUAUAUGAGCUCAUUUCUCUGCACUUAUUCCCAAAUGGUUGACAUCGAUUUGCAACGUUAAUGAACUCCCCUUUACAAUCAGUUUUUCCCACUUUAUAAAAUGCAGUAGAUAUGAAGAUCGACUGCCCAGCCAUCCCUCAACAAAGGACUUGCUGCCUGUAGUGGGGUAAAUGAUGACCCCAAAAAGAUACAUCCACCCUAAACCUCAGAAUGUUACCUGAACGUAGCAAGUUUUCUUAUCAGUGAGAUGUUUUCAGAACAUCUUCUUCAGAGAGAUGUUCUGAAAGAAAAAAAUUAACCAAGAUCAGUUGACUUUGAGUACAAUCAUCUCCAUCUGUGUGAAAGGCAAUGCAGUGGGUGGAAAAUGCUCUUCCCUGGGAAUCAAAAUUCUCAUGAGUUAAUGUCUCUAAACCUUAUGAUAAAAUGAGGGGUUUGGCCCAUAUGACCUUAGGGGCUUUUGUUCUCUAAAAUGCUGUGAUUUGGUCUUGAGACACUGAGCUGCAUGAGAGUAGAAUAGUGGAAAUGGUACUGGCCUGAGAGUUCAGAGCAUGGCUUUGCAUUUUCAUUCUCCUGGCCAGCUAUGUGGCCUUGGACAGGUCACUUCCCCUUCCUGGGCCUUCCUUUCCUCCUCUGCACCAAUGAGUGUGACUGAGGCAGCUAACAUGUCAGCAUGGUGAGUAAUGGCUCUUGGGAUGGUCACUUUUAUGUGUCAACCUGGCUAUGCUAUGGUACUCAGUUACGUAAUUAAACAGUAAUCUAGGUGUUGCCGGGAAGGCUAUUUCGCAGAUGUGGUUGACAUCUAUCAUAAGUUGGCUUCAAGUAAAGGAGAUUACCCUCAAAAUUGGCCAGGCCUUGUCCAAUCAGUUGGAAGUUCCUAAGAACACAAACUGUGGUUUGCAGAAGAAAAAAUUCUGCCUUGAGUCUGCAGCAUUAACUCCUGCCAGAGUUUCUGACUUGCCAGCCUGCCCUAUGGAUUUUGGACCUGCCAGCCCCCACAAUUGUGUGAGCCAAUUCCUUAAAAUAAAUCUCUUUAUAUAAAUA
This 3251-nucleotide long non-coding RNA is filed under the name Homo sapiens (human). RNAcentral's name for it is "HSALNT0163402". Lineage: Eukaryota; Metazoa; Chordata; Mammalia; Primates; Hominidae. The record is from RNAcentral.